ACGCUCGACACCUACUGGAGGCAGCAGUCGGGAAUAUUGCGCAAUGGAGGGAACUCUGACGCAGUGACGCCGCGUAUAGGAAGAAGGUUUUCGGAUUGUAAACUAUUGUCGUUAGGGAAGAGAAAGGACAGUACCUAAGGAGGAAGCUCCGGCUAACUACGUACCAGCAGCCGCGGUAAUCUGAGCGGGCUGGCAAGGC
RNAcentral lists this ribosomal RNA (199 nucleotides) under uncultured bacterium. RNAcentral's name for it is "partial 16S ribosomal RNA". It matches the Rfam family "Bacterial small subunit ribosomal RNA", at positions 328 to 539 of the family's 1533-position model. The record is from RNAcentral.